GAUGAACGCUGGCGGCGUGCCUAAUACAUGCAAGUCGAGCGAACCACUUCGGUGGUGAGCGGCGAACGGGUGAGUAUCACGUAGGUUAUCUGCCCAUCAGACGGGGACAACGAUUGGAAACGAUCGCUAAUACCGGAUAGGACGAAAGUUUAAAGGUGCUUCUGGCACCGCUGAUGGAUGAGCCUGCGGCGCAUUAGCUAGUUGGUAGGGUAAAGGCCUACCAAGGCGACGAUGCGUAGCCGACCUGAGAGGGUGAACGGCCACACUGGGACUGAGACACGGCCCAGACUCCUACGGGAGGCAGCAGUAGGGAAUCUUCGGCAAUGGGCGAAAGCCUGACCGAGCAACGCCGCGUGAAUGAUGAAGGCCUUCGGGUUGUAAAAUUCUGUUAUAAGGGAAGAACGACUUUAGUAGGAAAUGGCUAAAGUGUGACGGUACCUUAUGAGAAAGCCACGGCUAACUACGUGCCAGCCGCCGCCGUAA
RNAcentral lists this ribosomal RNA (483 nucleotides) under uncultured bacterium. RNAcentral's name for it is "partial 16S ribosomal RNA". It matches the Rfam family "Bacterial small subunit ribosomal RNA", at positions 28 to 523 of the family's 1533-position model. The record is from RNAcentral.